RNAcentral lists this ribosomal RNA (577 nucleotides) under Debaryomyces hansenii. Its description in RNAcentral is "LSU rRNA". It matches the Rfam family "Eukaryotic large subunit ribosomal RNA", at positions 65 to 659 of the family's 3401-position model. Lineage: Eukaryota; Fungi; Ascomycota; Pichiomycetes; Serinales; Debaryomycetaceae. The record is from RNAcentral.
ACAACAGGUGAUGCUUAGUACGGCGAGUGAAGCGGCAAAAGCUCAAAUUUGAAAUCUGGCACCUUCGGUGUCCGAGUUGUAAUUUGAAGAAGGUAACUUUGGAGUUGGCUCUUGUCUAUGUUCCUUGGAACAGGACGUCACAGAGGGUGAGAAUCCCGUGCGAUGAGAUGCCCAAUUCUAUGUAAAGUGCUUUCGAAGAGUCGAGUUGUUUGGGAAUGCAGCUCUAAGUGGGUGGUAAAUUCCAUCUAAAGCUAAAUAUUGGCGAGAGACCGAUAGCGAACAAGUACAGUGAUGGAAAGAUGAAAAGAACUUUGAAAAGAGAGUGAAAAAGUACGUGAAAUUGUUGAAAGGGAAGGGCUUGAGAUCAGACUUGGUAUUUUGCGAUCCUUUCCUUCUUGGUUGGGUUCCUCGCAGCUUACUGGGCCAGCAUCGGUUUGGAUGGUAGGAUAAUGACUAAGGAAUGUGGCUCUACUUCGGUGGAGUGUUAUAGCCUUGGUUGAUACUGCCUGUCUAGACCGAGGACUGCGUCUUUUGACUAGGAUGUUGGCAUAAUGAUCUUAAGCCACCCGUCUUGAAA